GACGAACGCUGGCGGCGUGCUUAACACAUGCAAGUCGAACGGAAAGGCCCUGCUUUUGUGGGGUGCUCGAGUGGAGAACGGGUGAGUAACACGGGAGUAACCUGCCCUUGACUUUGGGAUAACUUCAGGAAACUGGGGCUAAUACCGGAUAGGAGCUCCUGCUGCAUGGUGGGGGUUGGAAAGUUUCGGCGGUUGGGGAUGGACUCGCGGCUUAUCAGCUUGUUGGUGGGGUAGUGGCUUACCAAGGCUUUGACGGGUAGCCGGCCUGAGAGGGUGACCGGCCACAUUGGGACUGAGAUACGGCCCAGACUCCUACGGGAGGCAGCAGUGGGGAAUAUUGCACAAUGGGCGGAAGCCUGAUGCAGCAACGCCGCGUGCGGGAUGACGGCCUUCGGGUUGUAAACCGCUUUCGCCUGUGACGAAGCGUGAGUGACGGUAAUGGGUAAAGAAGCACCGGCUAACUACGUG
This 468-nucleotide ribosomal RNA is filed under the name uncultured bacterium. RNAcentral's name for it is "partial 16S ribosomal RNA". It matches the Rfam family "Bacterial small subunit ribosomal RNA", at positions 28 to 507 of the family's 1533-position model. The record is from RNAcentral.